This 460-nucleotide ribosomal RNA is filed under the name uncultured bacterium. RNAcentral describes it as "partial 16S ribosomal RNA". It matches the Rfam family "Bacterial small subunit ribosomal RNA", at positions 338 to 795 of the family's 1533-position model. The record is from RNAcentral.
CCUACGGGAGGCAGCAGUGAGGAAUAUUGGUCAAUGGACGAGAGUCUGAACCAGCCAAGUAGCGUGAAGGAUGACUGCCCUAUGGGUUGUAAACUUCUUUUAUAUGGGAAUAAAACGUUCCGCGAGUGGGAUUUUGUAUGUACCAUAUGAAUAAGGAUCGGCUAACUCCGUGCCAGCAGCCGCGGUAAUACGGAGGAUCCGAGCGUUAUCCGGAUUUAUUGGGUUUAAAGGGAGCGUAGGUGGAUUGUUAAGUCAGUUGUGAAAGUUUGCGGCUCAACCGGAAAAUUGCAGUUGAAACUGGCAGUCUUGAGUACAGUAGAGGUGGGCGGAAUUCGUGGUGUAGCGGUGAAAUGCUUAGAUAUCACGAAGAACUCCGAUUGCGAAGGCAGUUCACUGGACUGCAACUGACACUGAGGCUCGAAAGUGUGGGUAUCAAACAGGAUUAGAUACCCUUGUAGUC